GGGGGGACGCAGUAGGAUAGGCGAAGCGUACGAUUGGAUUGUACGUCUAAGCAGUGAGAUUGAGUGUUAGGCAAAUCCGGCACUCUUAAGAUUGAGCUGUGAUGGGGAGAGGAAAUUGUUUCCUCGAGUCGUUGAUUUCACACUGCCGAGAAAAGCCUCUAGAUAGAGAUUAGGUGCCCGUACCGCAAACCGACACAGGUAGUCAAGAUGAGAAUUCUAAGGUGAGCGAGCGAACUCUCGUUAAGGAACUCGGCAAAAUGACCCCGUAACUUCGGGAGAAGGGGUGCUCUUUAGGGUGCAAGCCCAGAAGAGCCGCAGUGAAUAGGCCCAAGCGACUGUUUAUCAAAAACACAGGUCUCUGCUAAACCGUAAGGUGAUGUAUAGGGGCUGACGCCUGCCCGGUGCUGGAAGGUUAAGAGGAGUGGUUAGCUUCUGCGAAGCUACGAAUCGAAGCCCCAGUAAACGGCGGCCGUAACUAUAACGGUCCUAAGGUAGCGAAAUUCCUUGUCGGGUAAGUUCCGACCCGCACGAAAGGCGUAACGAUUUGGGCACUGUCUCAACGAGAGACUCGGUGAAAUCAUAGUACCUGUGAAGAUGCAGGUUACCCGCGACAGGACGGAAAGACCCCGUGGAGCUUUACUGUAGCCUGAUAUUGAAAUUCGGCACAGCUUGUACAGGAUAGGUAGGAGCCUUUGAAACGUGAGCGCUAGCUUACGUGGAGGCGUUGGUGGGAUACUACCCUAGCUGUGUUGGCUUUCUAACCCGCACCACUUAUCGUGGUGGGAGACAGUGUCAGGCGGGCAGUUUGACUGGGGCGGUCGCCUCCUAAAAGGUAACGGAGGCGCUCAAAGGUUCCCUCAGAAUGGUUGGAAAUCAUUCAUAGAGUGUAAAGGCAUAAGGGAGCUUGACUGCGAGACCUACAAGUCGAGCAGGGUCGAAAGACGGACUUAGUGAUCCGGUGGUUCCGCAUGGAAGGGCCAUCGCUCAACGGAUAAAAGCUACCCCGGGGAUAACAGGCUUAUCUCCCCCAAGAGUUCACAUCGACGGGGAGGUUUGGCACCUCGAUGUCGGCUCAUCGCAUCCUGGGGCUGUAGUCGGUCCCAAGGGUUGGGCUGUUCGCCCAUUAAAGCGGUACGCGAGCUGGGUUCAGAACGUCGUGAGACAGUUCGGUCCCUAUCCGUCGUGGGCGUAGGAAAUUUGAGAGGAGCUGUCCUUAGUACGAGAGGACCGGGAUGGACAUACCUCUGGUGUACCAGUUGUCGUGCCAACGGCAUAGCUGGGUAGCUAUGUAUGGACGGGAUAAGUGCUGAAAGCAUCUAAGCAUGAAGCCCCCCUCAAGAUGAGAUUUCCCAACUUCGGUUAUAAGAUCCCUCAGAGAUGAUGAGGUUAAUAGGUUCGAGGUGGAAGCGUGGUGACACGUGGAGCUGACGAAUACUAAUCGAUCGAAGACUUAAUCAA
Molecule: ribosomal RNA, 1458 nt
Filed under: Staphylococcus hominis
Lineage: Bacteria; Bacillati; Bacillota; Bacilli; Caryophanales; Staphylococcaceae
Description: partial 23S ribosomal RNA
Rfam family: Bacterial large subunit ribosomal RNA
Source: RNAcentral